RNAcentral lists this ribosomal RNA (253 nucleotides) under uncultured microorganism. RNAcentral describes it as "partial 16S ribosomal RNA". It matches the Rfam family "Bacterial small subunit ribosomal RNA", at positions 524 to 776 of the family's 1533-position model. The record is from RNAcentral.
UACGGAGGGGGCGAGCGUUGUUCGGAGUUACUGGGCGUAAAGCGCACGUAGGCGGUCCGGUAAGUCAGGGGUUAAAGGCUGCAGCUCAACUGCAGUAAGGCCUUUGAUACUAUCGUGCUAGAGUGUCAGAGAGGAUGGCGGAAUUCCCGGUGUAGCGGUGAAAUGCGUAGAUAUCGGGAGGAAGGCCGGUGGCGAAGGCGGCCUCCUGGGCCUGCACUGACGCUGAGGCGCGAAAGCGUGGGGAGCAAACAGG